UGGGGAAUAUUGGACAAUGGGGGGAACCCUGAUCCAGCCAUGCCGCGUGUGUGAAGAAGGCCUUUUGGUUGUAAAGCACUUUAAGCGAGGAGGAGGCUACCGAGAUUAAUACUCUUGGAUAGUGGACGUUACUCGCAGAAUAAGCACCGGCUAACUCUGUGCCAGCAGCCGCGGUAAUACAGAGGGUGCAAGCGUUAAUCGGAUUUACUGGGCGUAAAGCGCGCGUAGGUGGCCAAUUAAGUCAAAUGUGAAAUCCCCGAGCUUAACUUGGGAAUUGCAUUCGAUACUGGUUGGCUAGAGUAUGGGAGAGGAUGGUAGAAUUCCAGGUGUAGCGGUGAAAUGCGUAGAGAUCUGGAGGAAUACCGAUGGCGAAGGCAGCCAUCUGGCCUAAUACUGACACUGAGGUGCGAAAGCAUGGGGAGCAAA
This 426-nucleotide ribosomal RNA is filed under the name uncultured bacterium. RNAcentral's name for it is "bacterial SSU rRNA". It matches the Rfam family "Bacterial small subunit ribosomal RNA", at positions 355 to 772 of the family's 1533-position model. The record is from RNAcentral.